GAAGUCAUAUAUGUUAUUCAAGAUGUCAUAUACAUUCGCAGAAAGUCAUAUAUAUUAUUCGGGAUGUCAUAUAUAUUCAUAGAAAGUCAUAUAAGGCAUUAAGAAGCCAUAUAUAUUGCUUAGGAUGUCAUAUAUAUUCAUAGGAUAUCAUAUAUAUUGUUCGGAAUAUCAUUUAUACUCAUAGAAAGUCAUAUGAGGCAUUAGGAAGUCAUAUCUGUUGUUCAGGAUAUCAUAUAUAUAUUCAUAGGAAAUCAUACAAGGC
This 262-nucleotide long non-coding RNA is filed under the name Elaeis guineensis (African oil palm). RNAcentral's name for it is "long non-coding RNA (EGUI_LNC040169)". Lineage: Eukaryota; Viridiplantae; Streptophyta; Magnoliopsida; Arecales; Arecaceae. The record is from RNAcentral.